Molecule: ribosomal RNA, 237 nt
Filed under: uncultured bacterium
Lineage: Bacteria
Description: partial 16S ribosomal RNA
Rfam family: Bacterial small subunit ribosomal RNA
Source: RNAcentral
UACGUAGGGCGCAAGCGUUGUCCGGAAUUAUUGGGCGUAAAGAGCUCGUAGGCGGUUUGUCGCGUCUGCUGUGAAAACCUAAGGCUCAACCUUGGGCUUGCAGUGGGUACGGGCAGACUAGAGUGCGGUAGGGGUGACUGGAAUUCCUGGUGUAGCGGUGGAAUGCGCAGAUAUCAGGAGGAACACCGAUGGCGAAGGCAGGUCACUGGGCCGCAACUGACGCUGGAGGAGCGGAAA